Molecule: ribosomal RNA, 216 nt
Filed under: Acholeplasmataceae bacterium
Lineage: Bacteria; Bacillati; Mycoplasmatota; Mollicutes; Acholeplasmatales; Acholeplasmataceae
Description: partial 16S ribosomal RNA
Rfam family: Bacterial small subunit ribosomal RNA
Source: RNAcentral
CUUAUGGAGAGUUUGAUCCUGGCUCAGGAUGAACGCUGGCGGCGUGCCUAAUACAUGCAAGUCGAACGCAUCACGUAAGUGGUGAGUGGCGAACGGGUGAGUAACACGUAGGUAACCUGCCCUUAAGACGAGGAUAACCGUUGGAAACGAUGGCUAAAACUGGAUAGGAUGAUUGAAGGCAUCUUCGAUCAUUUAAAAGACCUAGCAAUAGGUAUG